GCGAUCAUACGAGCACUAAUGCCCCGGAUCCCAUCAGAACUCCGCAGUUAAACGUGCUUGGGCGAGAGUAGUACUAGGAUGGGUGACCUCCUAGGAAGUCCUCAUGUUGCACCCC
RNAcentral lists this ribosomal RNA (115 nucleotides) under Populus tomentosa. Lineage: Eukaryota; Viridiplantae; Streptophyta; Magnoliopsida; Malpighiales; Salicaceae. The record is from RNAcentral.